RNAcentral lists this ribosomal RNA (594 nucleotides) under Solaster endeca. Its description in RNAcentral is "partial 16S ribosomal RNA". It matches the Rfam family "Bacterial large subunit ribosomal RNA", at positions 1816 to 2600 of the family's 2925-position model. Lineage: Eukaryota; Metazoa; Echinodermata; Asteroidea; Velatida; Solasteridae. The record is from RNAcentral.
CGCUCUUUGUAAAGAAUCUUAAGUAUAAGGAGUCCUGCCUGCCCGGUGACUAUUUUAGUUAAACGGCCGCGGUAUCUUGACCGUGCGAAGGUAGCAUAAUCAUUUGCCUUUUAAAUUAGGGCUGGAAUGAAUGGCAAGACGGGAAUUAAGCUGUCUCUCUCUUAUAAUUUGAAAUUAAUGUUUUUGUGAAGAAACAGAAAUGUGGUCGUAGGACGAGAAGACCCUAUCGAGCUUUAAUAUAAGAAAAUGUAAUAUAUUUAUUAUUGUUUUAUGCUAAUUAGGAAUUAAUAAUUUUUAUGCAAUUACUAUAAGUACAAUAAUGUUGUGCAUGUUUUAUUUGGAUUGGGGCAAUCACGGAGAAUAAUUACCCUCCGUUGUUUUUUUUAAAAAAAAUCUUUUUAUAUUUGAGAGUUUCAAUUGAAGUGAUCCACUAGAAGAGGUGAUAAGAAGAAUAAGUUACCGUAGGGAUAACAGCGUAAUUCUUUUGGAGAGUUCAUAUUGAUAAAAGAGUUUGCGACCUCGAUGUUGGAUCGGGAUUUCCUGGGGAUGCAGCAGUUCCCGACGGUUGGUCUGUUCGACCAUUAAAAUCCUACG